UUUAGGCACACCCGACAGACAGAGAGAAAUCACAUUUCACAACACAUGAUUGUUUGAAAUUCUUUAACACGUUAUCGUGAAUCGUGAUGGCAGCAAAAAGUAGCCAAGUGUCAUACUCGUUAAAGUAAUAUAAUUAAAUCACUCAAUUUUGUUGGAAAAUUUCUAAAAGCAUCGACAAAAACAUCAAUUAAACAAUAAUCAUGAAAAUAUUUUCUAGUGUUUGUGCUACUUUUGAUAGUGAUUUUACCAUCUGGUUACCUCCACGGGAGGAACUCCAGAACUUUAUUGAACAUUUGUCAGGAUUUGAAAUCAGAGCAUCAGAAAAUGAUGGACAACUAUGUAUAGUAGGAACUUUAGAAGCAAUGGUAUCUAUCAAGGAUUCAUUAAGCAAUUUUAUUUUGGUAAAUGAAGAAGAGGAUGGCAGAACUGAAAUUAAUCUUGAAACUCCAGGUGUGAGUGAUGAACCAAAUAACUAUUCCAACAGUUCUAUUCAACAGUUGGAGGAACUAUCCUUUGAGAAUGAAAUUUCUUCAGACUUUAAUGAUGUUGAAGGAAGUGAGAAUUGUCUGAACAUAGAAGUUUUGCAUUCGAAAUCAAAACAAGAAGCUAAAAAGAAAGAAUUUAAGUUUUCAUGUUCUCUUUGCUCUUUUAAGAGUCAAAGAGAAAGUCAUUAUCAGAAGCAUAUGAAUCUCCAUGAAACCAAUUCAACCAUCUUCCACUGUGACAAGUGUAAUUUCAGCACUUUAAGGUUAACCCAUUUAAGACACCAUCAGAUUACCCACAGUGCAAAACCAACUAUGUGCCCAACUGUUGCAUGUAGCUACAGUACAGAUAAUGCAAAACUUCUUAUCAAACAUCAACGUUUGAAACAUAAAGUUGUUUCCUCGCGUACCGAUCAAGUUAUUCGAAAUUGCCCUGCUUGUUCAUACAAAACCACGAGUCUUUACUUGUAUGAACGACAUAUGAAAAUACAUUCUGCGGAGGAAAAUAAAGGUGGACCCAAUUUAUUUAUUUGUAAUCAGUGUGACUAUCGAACAACAAGGAAAAUGCAUUAUGUUCGUCACGUCCGUGAUGUUCAUCGUGAGUGGCGUCCGUACCUGUGUGACUUGUGUGGAAAAGCAUUCAAGAGACCGGAUGCAUUGAAACAACACAACAUACUCCAUUCGACACCGGAAAAAGAUGGCUCAUUUCCAUUUCAGUGCCUCGUCAAAAGUUGUUUGAAGAAAUGUCAUUCAAAAGCACAUUUAAAUGCUCUACCUUGACUUUAUAAAAAAUGUUAGAGAAAGAAAAAGAGGACAGAAGGACCAAUUCCGCCAGAUUCCGCUUUGCGAAAACACCAAACGGUCCACUCUUCUGAACGAUCAUUCCUUUGUGAGAUCUGCGGGGCGUCAUUCAAAACGCGCUCGAUUCAACGUAAGCACAUUGCAAACUUACACCAAAACCCCCGCGCUUUUCUUUGUA
RNAcentral lists this unclassified non-coding RNA (1461 nucleotides) under Daphnia pulicaria. Its description in RNAcentral is "zinc finger protein 888-like, transcript variant X3". Lineage: Eukaryota; Metazoa; Arthropoda; Branchiopoda; Diplostraca; Daphniidae. The record is from RNAcentral.